This 451-nucleotide ribosomal RNA is filed under the name uncultured bacterium. Its description in RNAcentral is "bacterial SSU rRNA". It matches the Rfam family "Bacterial small subunit ribosomal RNA", at positions 29 to 526 of the family's 1533-position model. The record is from RNAcentral.
AACGAACGCUGGCGGCAGGCCUAACACAUGCAAGUCGAACGCUCCAGCAAUGGAGAGUGGCAGACGGGUGAGUAACGCGUGGGAACCUCCCUUUGGUUCGGAAUAGCUCAGGGAAACUUGAGGUAAUACCGGAUAAGCCCUUCGGGGGAAAGAUUUAUCGCCAAAGGAUGGGCCCGCGUCGGAUUAGCUAGUUGGUGGGGUAACGGCCUACCAAGGCGACGAUCCGUAGCUGGUCUGAGAGGAUGAUCAGCCACACUGGGACUGAGACACGGCCCAGACUCCUACGGGAGGCAGCAGUGGGGAAUAUUAGACAAUGGGGGCAACCCUGAUCUAGCCAUGCCGCGUGAGUGAUGAAGGCCUUAGGGUUGUAAAGCUCUUUCAGCUGGGAAGAUAAUGACGGUACCAGCAGAAGAAGCCCCGGCUAACUCCGUGCCAGCCGCCGCCGUAACAC